UACGAAGGGGGCUAGCGUUGCUCGGAAUUACUGGGCGUAAAGGGCGCGUAGGCGGAUGUUUAAGUCGGGGGGUGAAAGCCCGGGGCUCAACCCCGGAAUUGCCUUCGAUACUGGACAUCUUGAGUACGGGAGAGGUGAGUGGAACUCCGAGUGUAGAGGUGAAAUUCGUAGAUAUUCGGAAGAACACCAGUGGCGAAGGCGACUCACUGGCCCGUUACUGACGCUGAGGCGCGAAAGCGUGGGGAGCAAACAGG
Molecule: ribosomal RNA, 254 nt
Filed under: uncultured bacterium
Lineage: Bacteria
Description: partial 16S ribosomal RNA
Rfam family: Bacterial small subunit ribosomal RNA
Source: RNAcentral